GCUUCCUACGGGAGGCAGCAGUGGGGAAUUUUGGACAAUGGGCGCAAGCCUGAUCCAGCAAUGCCGCGUGAGUGAAGAAGGCCUUCGGGUUGUAAAGCUCUUUUGUCAGGGAAGAAACGGUGAGGGCUAAUAUCCUUUGCUAAUGGCGGUACCUGAAGAAUAAGCACCGGCUAACUACGUGCCAGCAGCCGCGGUAAUACGUAGGGUGCAAGCGUUAGUCGGAAUUACUGGGCGUAAAGCGUGCGCAGGCGGUUAUGUAAGUCAGAUGUGAAAUCCCCGGGCUCAACCUGGGAAUGGCAUUUGAGACUGCAUGGCUAGAGUGUGUCAGAGGGAGGUAGAAUUCCACGUGUAGCAGUGAAAUGCGUAGAGAUGUGGAGGAAUACCGAUGGCGAAGGCAGCCCCCUGGGAUAACACUGACGCUCAUGCACGAAAGCGUGGGGAGCAAGCAGGAUUAGAUACCCUGGUAGUCCACGCCCUAAACGAUGUCUACUAGUUGUCGGGACUUAAUUGUCUUGGUAACGCAGCUAACGCGUGAAGUAGACCGCCUGGGGAGUACGGUCGCAAGAUUAAAACUC
This 575-nucleotide ribosomal RNA is filed under the name uncultured bacterium. Its description in RNAcentral is "bacterial SSU rRNA". It matches the Rfam family "Bacterial small subunit ribosomal RNA", at positions 334 to 902 of the family's 1533-position model. The record is from RNAcentral.